This 253-nucleotide ribosomal RNA is filed under the name uncultured bacterium. Its description in RNAcentral is "partial 16S ribosomal RNA". It matches the Rfam family "Bacterial small subunit ribosomal RNA", at positions 524 to 776 of the family's 1533-position model. The record is from RNAcentral.
UACGGGGGGGGCAAGCGUUGUUCGGAAUUACUGGGCGUAAAGCGCGCGUAGGCGGCUUUGUAAGUUAGAGGUGAAAGCCCGGAGCUCAACUCCGGAAUUGCCUUUAAGACUGCAUCGCUUGAAUCAUGGAGAGGUGAGUGGAAUUCCGAGUGUAGAGGUGAAAUUCGUAGAUAUUCGGAAGAACACCAGUGGCGAAGGCGACUCACUGGACAUGUAUUGACGCUGAGGUGCGAAAGCGUGGGGAGCAAACAGG